RNAcentral lists this ribosomal RNA (408 nucleotides) under uncultured bacterium. Its description in RNAcentral is "bacterial SSU rRNA". It matches the Rfam family "Bacterial small subunit ribosomal RNA", at positions 495 to 907 of the family's 1533-position model. The record is from RNAcentral.
AUUCGAUUGUGCCAGCAGCCGCGGUAAUACGUAGGGAGCGAGCGUUGUCCGGAAUUACUGGGUGUAAAGGGAGCGUAGGCGGGAUGGCAAGUCAGAUGUGAAAACUAUGGGCUCAACCCAUAGACUGCAUUUGAAACUGUUGUUCUUGAGUGAGGUAGAGGUAAGCGGAAUUCCUGGUGUAGCGGUGAAAUGCGUAGAGAUCAGGAGGAACAUCGGUGGCGAAGGCGGCUUACUGGGCCUUUACUGACGCUGAGGCUCGAAAGCGUGGGGAGCAAACAGGAUUAGAUACCCUGGUAGUCCACCCGUAAACGAUGAUUACUAGGUGUGGGGGGACUGACCCCUUCCGUGCCGCAGUUAACACAAUAAGUAAUCCACCUGGGGAGUACGGCCGCAAGGUAAACUCAAGAA